GCUUGGAGACAGGUGCUGCAUGGCUGUCGUCAGCUCGUGUCGUGAGAUGUUGGGUUAAGUCCCGCAACGAGCGCAACCCUUGUCUUUAGUUGCCAUCAUUUAGUUGGGCACUCUAAAGAGACUGCCGGUGUCAAACCGGAGGAAGGUGGGGAUGACGUCAAGUCCUCAUGGCCUUUAUGACCAGGGCUACACACGUACUACAAUGGCCGGUACAAAGGGCAGCCACUUAGCGAUAAGGAGCCAAUCCCGUAAAGCCGGUCUCAGUCCGGAUUGGAGUCUGCAACUCGACUCCAUGAAGUUGGAAUCGCUAGUAAUCGCAGAUCAGCACGCUGCGGUGAAUACGUUCCCGGGCCUU
Molecule: ribosomal RNA, 355 nt
Filed under: uncultured Desulfocapsa sp.
Lineage: Bacteria; Pseudomonadati; Thermodesulfobacteriota; Desulfobulbia; Desulfobulbales; Desulfocapsaceae
Description: bacterial SSU rRNA
Rfam family: Bacterial small subunit ribosomal RNA
Source: RNAcentral